GAUGAACGCUGGCGGCGUGCUUAACACAUGCAAGUCGAGCGAACAGAUGAUGCGUUUGUUGCUCUGUCGUUAGCCGCGGACGUGUGUGUAACACGAGGAUAACCUCCCUGUAUGUCUGGUAUAAUUUCGGGACAGGGGAGCUUAUCCCGGAUAAUAUCUUGCACCACAUGGUUCAAUAGAGAGAGACGGCUUUUCUGUCACUUAUCGCUGCUUCUGCGCCGCAUUAGCUAGUUGGUAAGGUAACGGCUUACCACGGCGACGCUGCGUGGCCGACCUGAGAGGGUGAUCGGCCACACUGGAGCGGAGACGCGGUCCAGACGCCUACGGGAGGCAGCAGUAGGGAAUGUGCCGCAAUGGGCGAAAGCCUGACGGAGCAACGCCGCGUGAGUGAUGACGGUCUUCGGAUCGUAAAACUCCGUUAUGAGGGAAGAACAAAUGUGUAAGGAACUGUGCACGUCUUGACGGUACCUAAUCAGAAAGCCACGGCUAACUACGUG
RNAcentral lists this ribosomal RNA (497 nucleotides) under uncultured bacterium. RNAcentral's name for it is "partial 16S ribosomal RNA". It matches the Rfam family "Bacterial small subunit ribosomal RNA", at positions 28 to 507 of the family's 1533-position model. The record is from RNAcentral.